RNAcentral lists this ribosomal RNA (517 nucleotides) under uncultured Glomus. RNAcentral describes it as "SSU rRNA". It matches the Rfam family "Eukaryotic small subunit ribosomal RNA", at positions 569 to 1088 of the family's 1831-position model. Lineage: Eukaryota; Fungi; Glomeromycota; Glomeromycetes; Glomerales; Glomeraceae. The record is from RNAcentral.
AGCAGCCGCGGUAAUUCCAGCUCCAAUAGCGUAUAUUAAAGUUGUUGCAGUUAAAAAGCUCGUAGUUGAAUUUCGGGGUUAGUAGGCUGGUCAUGCCACCGGUAUGUACUGGUCUUUCUGAUUCCUCCUUCCUGAUGAACUGUAAUGCCAUUAAUUUGGUGUUGCAGGGAAUCUGGACUGUUACUUUGAAAAAAUUAGAGUGUUUAAAGCAGGCUAACGCUUGAAUACGUUAGCAUGGAAUAAUGAAAUAGGACGCUCGAUCCUAUUUUGUUGGUUUCUAGGAUUGACGUAAUGAUUAAUAGGGAUAGUUGGGGGCAUUAGUAUUCAAUUGUCAGAGGUGAAAUUCUUGGAUUUAUUGAAGACUAACUACUGCGAAAGCAUUUGCCAAGGAUGUUUUCAUUAAUCAAGAACGAAAGUUAGGGGAUCGAAGACGAUCAGAUACCGUCGUAGUCUUAACCAUAAACUAUGCCGACUAGGGAUCGGAUGAUGUUAAUUUUUAAUGACUCAUUCGGCGCCG